UACGGAGGGUGCAAGCGUUAUCCGGAUUUACUGGGCUUAAAGGGUGUGUAGGCGGGCUUUUAAGUCAGUGGUGAAAUCUCCGGGCUCAACCUGGAAACUGCCAUUGAUACUAUUAGUCUUGAAUUUUGUUGAGGUGGGCGGAAUAAGUCAUGUAGCGGUGAAAUGCAUAGAUAUGACUUAGAACACCAAUUGCGAAGGCAGCUCACUAAGCAAACAUUGACGCUGAGGCACGAAAGCGUGGGGAUCAAACAGG
This 253-nucleotide ribosomal RNA is filed under the name uncultured bacterium. Its description in RNAcentral is "partial 16S ribosomal RNA". It matches the Rfam family "Bacterial small subunit ribosomal RNA", at positions 524 to 776 of the family's 1533-position model. The record is from RNAcentral.